UCUUAACUUUAUCUUUAAACUGUAUUUACACAGUAUAUAUAUUUUUGGCAAGCAUGAUUAAAAUUUCGACUUUUUAAUGAACACCUGAGUCUGAACUCUCACAGCGGUUUUUUUGUAUAAUCAACCCACUCAGUCGCCAUGCGCUUCGAUUAAAAGCAAUUUUCGCCAUUCUACGCUGGCUUUGUGCGCAUCUAAAUUAAACCCCGAAACCCGCAAAGUGAAUGCGUCACUUCAUUCGAAUGAAUGACAGGGGUAAAAAAGUUCAACAAAAAGCAACAACAAUAAACAAUAUUGGCCAAAAAAUGCUAAACUAGAGCGCGCGUCAUUCAAAACUCGCCAUGUUUUGUGUGCUAUGGUCACAACAACAACACACAAUAGCGGCGACAACAACAUGCGCGAAAUAUGCAAACAAAUAAAUCCGCAAAAUCGGUCGAAAAUGGCCACCGAAGCAACAAUUACAACAACCAUUGGCAAUAGUGCAUUGUUUUAUGCGGAGGCAUGCAUAGCGCCGGACGGACAGACGUUCACGUCGCAUGCCUCAAUUGUCGCCUUCACUUUCAUUCCGGACUAAGCUGUGAACGCCGCGUCGUGAAGCUCUACGGCGCUUACCACGCGCCUGACGGCCGGUGCUUCGGUCAUUUUCAUUACGAACUGGUUCAAUGCGAAAAAUUCGCUGAAAUAACUGGGGACAGUCGAAACAAAAAUCGAAAUACAUAACUGUAACAGUAGAGUGCAAAAUAUUUGCGACAAGUGUAGUUUCUAUUCCCCGAAAAAUGGUUUAAUUUGCUCGCAGGCAGGCAUUUGGCGGCCAGUAAGUGUUCGAAAUGCCAGCAAAUCUACUGCAAUUCACUGAUUGGGCACACUGCAUGCCCGCCGGCACGUCGCUUGCAUUAAGUUACUCUUCGCGCUUCAUGGUGUUCCGCAAAAGCCUCAGUCACCCCAUCGAGGUUUCCAAUUUCGGCUGAAAUGCUGGUUGUUGCCGGCUAUUCUUUGUGGUUGUUGUUGCUGUAAUUUUUGUUGUUUUUUAGUUGUCAACCGUUGUUGUGGCAUUCGUUGGCUUUGUAUUUGAAUUGGUUUUCAACGGUGUGUCUGUGUGUGAAUACUGCGUUUAGGUGAAAACUUGUCUGUGUGUGCCGAAAUUUGUGUUUAUGUGUAUUCUCCUAUUUCCAAGCACGCUUGAAAGUUGGUGGUAAUGGAGUGACAUCGAACUGAAUGAAAUUGCAAGCAAUUUUACAAAAAUUCCGUUUUUUCUGGUGUACAUUUAGGCGCAACAGUUAGAAUAUGCUAAGAGCCCGAUAACGUGGGAAGCAAAAUUAUUCGAAGCUUUACUAAGAGUUUUACUAAAAAUCGAUUAUUAAUUAAGUUCAGCUGCUGGUGGAUAGCACUAUCAAAUAUCUUACUUUAUAUUUGUCGUAGCAGUGUUUGAGUGCAAACUUGUGCGUCUAAAAGGCUGCAAUGAUUCGUAUGAAGAUUACUUUUGCAAGCUUUCUAGGGUUUACGGGGUUUAAUUAAUGGUUGAGCUUAAGAUUUAAAGGUAAGCAUUUUUUUCAAGGAAGCGGUUAUGUUAGAAAUAAACAGGUCGGUGAAGGCUAGUAAGGUUUUUAAAUCGAAACGACAAAGGCAGGACUUCACAUGUGAACGAGGUAGAGUCAGUAUUCUUUUCAGCCUGAAAUACAUAUUGAGGAAUGUAGAACUUUUCUAAAAUACACAGAGUUUCUUGUACAAGAAUUUACUGUAUAAAACAAUGCAGAAUGAUACUUGCAAGUAAUUUCCAAAUGAAUGUUAGUAUGUUUUCAUUGCGAGGCUGUUCAGAGUGCAUGAUUUAAAUUGAAGGAUUAAUGAGGUAUACACCAACAAUCUUGAUGAAAUAAAUUUUUGGGCCAUGAACUUAUUUUAUUUUUAUUAUUUAAAUGAAUGUACAUGAGGACUAGAUACAUGACAUUUAGUUUCGGCAGUCAUGUGUGCUGAAAUACGAUGGUUUGUCUUCUUCCCUCGCAUACUUUUAGGCAAAUUAUAAUAAAUUAGGUUUUUUCAGACUUCGUUAUGAAUUUGUGAUCUGAUUUUGGAAUAUUUUUUGGCUUUGUAAAAGUUUCUGCCGUGUUUCGUAAUUGGUUCCUAAAAGUAGAUACAAAUAUUGAGUUCGGGUAGAUUGAUGUAGAUUUUAUUACUUAAAUUUGGCUAUUAAGAAGUUAACUGGAAGCUUUAUUGAGGAAUAAUACCAUACAAGAUUAAUCCAGAAAAAAGAUUAAACCAAAAAAAAGUUGCCUAAAAUAUACUAAAAGGAAAGUUGGACUAAGCCUCCGAAUAUAUCCAUAUUUAGCAAAUACAAACUUUAACCAGAAAGAGCUUGAAGAUAUGCGCAGAAAAUAACUACAAAAACAUUCAAUGCUCACUCCUAAAAUUUAAGCCAAACGAGAAACUUUUAAGUACAUCGCAUUCCAUUUUUUACACGAGGUCUGUACGAAGUAGCCUAGUUUUUGUGUGAGCGCAGUAUUAUGUCUAAAAAUAUGACAUGACGUUACGAAAAAUGUGCGAAAAAAUGCAAAUAGGAAAAACAAAAUAAUACCAAUUUUUCUGUCAUGCCGUUAAGCUUUCAACGUGUGGCUUUAAUAUUUUUUUCGACUAUGCUUUCUGCUUCCACACCGCAGCUUGCAAUUUUGUUGCACUUUCAGCAGUGGCGACCACACAGGCGGUAAGGCCUAACUGUAGGCGCUAGGCGGGUUCGGUUAAUCGCAAUGCAAUUUUCGUUGCUGCACGUGACAUCAAUAGACCGUGGUGUAUGCAAAUGCACCAAUAUCAAAAAAUACGACCUUAAACGCAAGUAAAGUGCGCCUAAAAAGAGGCAAACAAGUAUUAAAUCAAAUGCAUGUCAUGAUAAAUAAACGUCUGUUGACACGGUGUUAUAUCGAAUUUUCGAGUGAAGUAAUAUUUUUUAUUGCAAAAAAUAAAAGUGUUGAGUACCAUAAUAGGCGCUGAAGAGUGUGCUGCAAGAAGCUGUUGAUAAAAGUGCAUUAAAUGGCGUUUUUGUGGGCGCCGUAACAAUAGUUCCACGAAAAUGAAAUAAUUGCUUGACAAAAAGUGACAUGCAAUCCCAUUAAAUGGAUUUUUUUAUGAGUUAUUGAAGUGGCGUUAAACCCACGCCGUGCAAAUUUAACAAUAAGGUGUGAUAAAAUGGACCACACAGUAACCAAAAUUGAACAAUGCAUGAAAGUGUUUUUCGUUUUUCGGUAUUUUCGCGAUUAAACAUUGGAUUGUAAUUUGUUUGUAACGUGAAAAGCAUUUCCUAUAGUAUCUAUAUGUAAUAUGUAACUGGUGAAAUAUGUAGUGGUACAUUUUUCGGUAGCCUUUUUUUGUCAGAUCACGCAUGAUACUUCAAACAGUGACCGACACAAAGCCGUAUACCAAAUCAGCUGAUACGCCCUAUCUUAUGAGAGCGCAAUGUUAAUGAACACUCACCCCCGCUUCUAUCGUCUAAAGAAAGUAAAAAGUGAAUACAAACUUACAAUAUUUUAAAUAGAAUAAUACAAAUUUAUUUCAAAAUAUGGACGACGAAAAAUGUAUAUAUUUAGUAGAAGCUCAAAAGAAGGUUCAUGACAAAAGUAGACCCUACUAUAGAUUUUGGUCAAAGAAGGAUAGGUUGUGGGAACAAAUUGGGAAGGAGAUGCUCACAAGUAGUAAGUUUGGAUUUGUUAUUUAUGGGUUGGCAUAAUAUAAAAAAUAAAUAAUAACAUUAUUAUUAUUAUAUAGGAGAGUUUGCCGUGGAAAAUGGCUAGCGCUUUGCGAUCGAUUCAGCAGAGAAGUUAGGAAGGCUAUAGCACCAUCAGACAGCGGGGCGCAGUUUUAUAAGCAGUGGCACUUAAUGGAAGCGGGGCAGUUUUUAAAGCCGCAUUUCGUAACGACCGUAAACUUUUUUAACUUACAAAAUUUAUAUUUACAGAAUAAGAUGUUCGCAAAAUAUUUGCGCUAGCGUUUUUACAUCGCGAUCACCUGUGGAAGCAGUAAAAGUGCCAACACCGUCACCCCCUUUCACAUUAAGCCCUGUUUUAGUAUCAUUUCCCUCACCAUCGCCUGCUCUCACAGUGUCGCAACCCUUACAAAAUAAUUUUAACGAGUCACCACCUCCAGCCUCACUGACUUCGCCAUCGGGUUCUGCGCUAGUGCCCUCACUAACCCAAACGGUUGGUAAAUGUCGAGAAAACAACAGCGAAGUGGACAAAACAAUUAUUGAAGCAAUCGAAUAAUUUAAAAAUAGUUGGUCCAGAAAUGAAGAAGAAAUUUUGAUGGUUUCCAUACUAUCAAAAAUGAGUGGCGAAAACCAUUGACGGGCUAUGCAAAAAAUAUUUGAAGUAGCUGUCGAGGUCCAACAGGAGCCAGAGUAGAAUGUAACACUUUUUUUAAAGUUAAUUUUGAUAUUUUUUGUAUUAGUAUACACUUUUAUGUAAUAGUUGAUGUGAUAUUUAUGUUUUGUAUUUAUAUCAUGAGUGUUACUUUUUAUGGAAUAGUCAAUGUGUUUGUUUUAAAGUUAAUUAAUUUAAUUGAUUGUUUUUAAUAUUUGUUAAUAACGAUUAAGUUAAUUUAAUUAUUUAUGUCUUCAUUAUUACUUUUUAUUUAAUAGUGUUUCUGUAUACAUGUGUGAUAUUUAUGUUUUAAAAUUAAUUUAAAACAAAAAAUUCAAGAAGUCAUGAAAAUUAGUAGUAAUUUUUUAAUAAUAUUAUAUGGUCCACCUAUGACAAUGCCUAUGUUGUUCUGGUAAGUUAAACGCAUUUGAAGGACCUCUACGCACUGAAGUUCGCGUUGGUUGUAAAUAGUCGUAAUUUUUAUAGUCGCUACGGCAAUCGCCGACAUGAUCUAUUCUAUCUCCUUCUAAUCGAUCUACAUAGUUUGUGAUCAUUUAACAUUAUAAAAUUAUCUAAAGUUCUGCAAGCCAACACUAUUUUUUUAGAAUUUUCUGGAUUACAUUUAAUCGUCGUUCUCAAAUUCUCCAUCGAGCAGUCAAUAUUUCAAACGAAUUUUCUACAUUUCAGAGCGCAUUAAAUUACUUCGUAGCGGGAAUGCAGCAUCUCGAACGAAAAAUUGUGGAAAAGGUUCGGGUGACACGUCAGAAAAUGGCAUAGCAGGUGGCAAAGGCGACGAGUAUUCCAUUAACGCAUGGCCAAAUGUAACUUUCACUUUGACUUCCAUAACUGCCACUACUAAUACUGAUGUGAACGUAUAUUUCGCAUCACAUGCAGCCAUCAAAACGAUUAUAGAACUAUAUACGAGCUAUAGAACUUUUUAUAAUAGUCAAACAUCGCAUUGGUCGGGCACUUAAUAGCAACGUGCUUGCCAUCAAUUGCAUCGACACAAAUCGGAAUGUUCAACAUAUAUAAAAAAAUCUUUAGCGAUGUCUUUGCAUUGAGACUAAUGUAAUAGACUGAGAAAAGCAAUCGCCAGAUUACCUCACACGUCUCUAAUAUGAUUUUCCGCACUAUUGUCUUCCCUAAUUUAUAACUCCAUGCAUUAUUUUACAACGAUACGCCUUGUGAUAAAAAGCUAACAAUUAUAAGAAAAGCACAUCUAUGCAUAUACAUAUAUACAUACAUAUUAGUUUACAAUACACUACCAAUCAACUUACAGCAACACCAACGAAAGCUUUUCCUCGGGACCAAUCCGCUGUAUCGCCUCUGUAAUGAUUUCCUUACUAAGUUCAUAAGCAAGUUAAAUAAGUCGGACUGAGCAACGAUUAAAAGUCGUUCAACUUUAAUACGAAAAUUUACGUUCUGUAAGAAUGUGUUUCGGGCGCUUCACUCAACUUAUGGUCACCAUCACUCAUCUUGAGACCCAGCUUUCAUUAUAGGAUAAUAUUCGACCGAAUAGACCACGUCCAGCAUGCAGUGAAGAAAAUAUAGCUGUCGUAGCUGGGAGUGUAUACACAAUUUUGUUCAGCGAUGAGGCCCAUUUCUGCAGCAAGAGCUGCCAUUUCAUCUAGAAAAAAACGGUUUGGUGUGGUUUGUGAGCCGGUGGAAUCAUCGGUCCACAUUUCUUCAAAAGGGAUGCCGGUGAGAACCUAACCGUCAAUGGCUGCCGUUAUUGCGCCAUGAUAACCGAAUAUUGGAUAUCUCGGGGACAUUUCGUUUCAAAAAUACAGCGCCACUUCCCACACAUCGCAUCAAUCAAUGAAUUUAUUGAGAGAACACUUCGGUGAGCAGAUAAUUUCAAGUUAUGGGCCGUUUGAUUGGCCACCAAGAUCGUGUGAUAUCACACCGUUAGACUCUUUCCUGUGGGAAUAUGUAAAGUCAAAAGUCUAUGCGGACAAUCUUACUUCGAUUCAGGCCUUGGAGCAAAACAUCACGCGUGUCAUUCCCCAGUUACCAGUCGAAAUGCUCGAACAAGUCAUCGAAAAUUGGAUUCACCGAAUGGACCAUCUGAGAUGUAGCCGCAACCAACAUUUGAAAGAGAUAAUCUUCAUAAAAUAAAUGCCAAAGAAUGUUCUUCCAAAUGAUAUUAAACAUUCCUCAUUAAAUUUGA
Molecule: long non-coding RNA, 6507 nt
Organism: Bactrocera oleae (olive fruit fly)
Lineage: Eukaryota; Metazoa; Arthropoda; Insecta; Diptera; Tephritidae
Source: RefSeq, a predicted model, not a curated record